Molecule: long non-coding RNA, 4044 nt
Filed under: Canis lupus familiaris (dog)
Lineage: Eukaryota; Metazoa; Chordata; Mammalia; Carnivora; Canidae
Description: lncRNA (ENSCAFG00000059030.1)
Source: RNAcentral
AUUAUACCCAUCAAAAGGAUAUCACAGCUCAUUUUGGUGGAAGGCUUUCCUUGUCGCUUCGCGUACGUCUUCUGGAGGGCGGACGGCACCCGCGGCCGGGGAGGAGGGGAGGGAGCCGGCGGCGAAGGGGAGGCCGGCGGGGCGGGGCCGGCGGGGCGGGGCGGGGCGGGGCGGGACGGGGGCCGCUGGGACGGAGCGGGACGGGGGGCGGGACGGGGGCGGGGCGGGGCCGGCAGGACCGGACGGGACGGGGGGCGGGACGGGAUGGGGCGGGGCCGGCGGGACGGGGCGGGGCCAUCGGGAGCGCGCGCCCGCGCGCCCGCGCCCCCGUCAGCUGCAGGUCCGGAGCCGGACGGUAGAGGCCUCCCUUCUGAGGAGGCGGCGCGGCCGCGCGGGGCCGGGGUGAGCGCUCCCAGCCGCGCGUCCUUCCGGACCGGGUCCCUGCGCGGCCCGACCCGGUGCGAGUAUUCCCCACCCGCCGUCCUCCUCCGCAGGCGGCGCCGCCCGUUCUUUGGAGGCUUCUAAUGUGAGGAAAAACACGGAAUGACAAGUGUGGGAAAGAGCAAGCACUAAAUUACUGUCAGAAAAAUAAACGGAGUAGCACAGUGGUGCUCGGUGAUUUACGGGGGCAAUUAGUCACCACCCCACGGCGCUGCUGAGGACAGCACGGCAGCAGACGCGUCAGGCCUGAGAGGAAGAAGAGGCUUUGCACUGCUCUCCAGACAACUUUUCAGACAAGAGAGGAUAUUUGAGCACAUUAGGUUCCAUGUCUUCAUUCUGGGUGCCCACCCUUCACAUUAUUCAGCCAGCCGAAUACAUAAACGUAUUUUUAACACAACAUUAACCUGUUCUGUGUGUGUGUGUGUGUGUGUGUGUUAAAAAGACUCCCAACUGUAGCUUUUUUCUCUCCCACUGCCCAAAGUAGGUUUUUCUCAUUCCUUAAAUGAAACAAACCUUUCCCCACUCCCAAAUUGUCCCCCUGAUGUGUGCCUUUGAUGUGUCUCAUCACUUCUUGCAUCUUGCUAUCAUGUUCUGUAUUUACUUGGAGCCAUUGGGUGCUAAGGAAUUUGGUCUCUAGCUCUUCUGGGGAAGUUUGGUGAGCUGGUACAAAAGAGGUGAUGAAUGAGGCUGUAAACCCAGAGUAAAUAAGAAAGGUACAUAAACUUCCUGAUAUUUGUUGGCCUGUUUUUUUUUUUUUUUAACAUACUCUAUGCAGUGCCUGUGUAUAUGUACAUAGCAAAAUAAACCUGCUAAGAUAUAAUGAGUUGGUGUGCAUUCUUUAGUAGGAAUUCUUCUCAAUCAGAAGAAACCUAGAAUGGAGGGCCAGGAAAGAACCCAGGAAAGACAAAGAUUUUAUUGACUAACUGCCAUGUCUGUGUAGGGGUGCUGGCAAGGCUGCUGAGGCGAACAAAUGAAGCAUCAUCAGGAGUUUAGUAUCCUUAUGGAGUAGUAUCUAAGAAUGCUGCCAUUUUAUAUUUCUGAAGCACUUCACAGUUUCCAAAGGAUAUUUGGAAUUCCUUAUCUCAUUUGAUCUUGCCUUGGCUUUGGUCAAGAACACCUGCUCAGAAAUGUGUUCAGUGACUAUGUACACAUUUGGAGAAUGUGACCUGACACAUGCUACCUUGGCCUGAAAGCUGGAGUACUAAAGAGGCAAAACUGUGUUGAUGAGCUGGUGCUGGUAUGGGCAACUAGACACUUAGGUUCUGAUGAAGAGGCUGGGAAAAAGUGAGAUUUUACUGGCUACUCUUCCACAUUACUAGGUUUUCUCUUUUUAAAGAUAUAAUAUGCCUUUAAAAACAAUUUAGAAAUAAUAUAGAGCCUUGGGAUUUGAUGUAGAAUUGCAUAUUUGUGACCAAAAAGAGCAAUGGUUUUCCUGUAAUAGGAAAGCAAACCCAACCAGGAAAGGAGGCAGAUGUGUUGCUCUGCAACAUUGCAGGCAUAUGAAAUUGUACAGAUCUCACUGAAAACUAGGAAUGAUAUCACUUGGAAAUUUAACCAAAAUUAUUUCCAUCAGUGGACAAAGCACAUUUUAAACCAUUGUAUGCCUUUUUCAGAUAUCGUUCUUUUUCUAAAGUCACAUUUGUUGUUUCUGAUAGAGGGGACAUAAUUGGGAAAAUUAACUAGAUAAAAAAAUGAAAUUUAAAGUAUAAAAAUUCUGCUUUUUCUGAUAAAUUUUACAUUCAUUGUUUCCUUGAUUUAAACAGAACAUUCUAAAAAUAUUACCCCCAUAGGGUGCGCAUUUUUAUGCACAUAUUAUUUUUGUUUAGAAAUUAUGAGCCAAUGAAGAGUGAAAAUGACCUUGGCUAUUGUACUUAUUUAUCAAUAGAAAUAAUAGCUUUUUUAUGUCUGGAUUCAAGUAUCUUCUCUACUAAUCAUGCAACUUCCAUACAUUUCAAAGAGAUGAUUUGGAUUGCAUGAAUACAGGAGUCUGGAGCUUCCUACAUGCCCCUGUAUUUGUACACAAUAUUUAUGCAAUAUUCUGACUUGGCUAUAAUCUAUAAUUUCUGGCUAUUAUUUCAGUUGCAACCAUAAUUUUUAGAUUAAUGGUUAUAAUUUUGGUAGGGAAUACAUGAAAAGUUAUAUGUUCAUGCUUGAAAGGAGGAUCAUUAAAUAUUCAUUAUUACCACUCAAAUUAGUUGUCAUGCUCUAUAAAACAGUUACCCGUUAUCAUUUCACUAGUUUAGAUUCAGCGGUAAGUGAACAGCAAUAUAUGGCUCAUAUCAGUAGAGGAAUUUUUGUUGAGGAACAGAGGGAGAAAUGAUUUUAAAACCCAUUUGACAUAUUUAUGUUGACAAAUUAUUUAAAAGAAUUACUGCAUUGUCAAUAAACAUGUUUGUAUGUUGGAAUAGGAUUGUGACUGGAUUUACUUCUAGCUGUUUAAUUACUCUAUGAUUGUGAAAAACAGUGCUUCUUCAGAUGGUUAUGAGGGGGGAAAAUGAAAAUACAAAGGUUGGGAUAUUUUAGUGUUUUGCACUUGCCUAAGCUUGCCAUAAAAAAGCGCUUUUCAUUUUUUAAGCAGGUACUGAAGUCUUGCUUUUUCAGCGGAGCUAGAUUGUAUAAUUUGUUAGUUUUCCCCAUCUGGUAACAAAUCUAUCCUUCAGAAAAAAAAAAGCAAAAAGCAAAACAAGAGAUGGAUUUUUAUAAAUGUUGUGGGUGAGCAUAUGUGGAGAUGUCUCCUUAACCUGUUUUGGAAACAUGAAGUGAAAAUAAAUAUGAAUGUAUUUUAGUGUAAAAACAUUUUGUGUUUUUCUUCCACAUAUCUUGAUAUGCUUUAUUCAGUUAUGUGAAGACAUCAGGGACAUCCACAUGAUUGUUUUUGUUUUGUUGUUGUUUUUUUUUUUAUCACAUUUCAUACUCUUCAGUAAUUUAAAUUGGCACUUUUUCCAUAGAACUCCCCCCAUAAAUUUGAUUCUGAUCUCAUCUAACUUUAGAGCUUUCUGUCUUAAAGAGUCAAAUUGUAGCUGAUGAACACAUUUUGCAUUUUUCCACAUUGCAUCUGGACUCUUCAGAAUGAUGGUUUAUUUUAUUUUAUUUUUUCUGCACAGAGGAGAGGAAAAAAUAUAUAGGUCCAUGAAUCAAUCUAGAUAAUGGGGAAGGCUGAAUGUAAUAAAUAAUACAGUAACAACCCUAAACUAAUGAGCUGUUGCUAAGGUACAUUUCAUAGGCUCAUCCUCUAUAUAAAAAGUCACUAAUAACCCCUUGGUGUAAUCAGAUGAUAAAGCUUUGCCAUAAGGCAACACCUGUGCAAUUAGAACUGCAGAUUCUUUUGCACGUUUCAUUAAUUUCAGGAUUUUGUAAAGGCACAAUGACUACACUAAUAAUCUAGUCUACUUGACUCCAUGUCUACCGGAAACAAAGUGUCUAAUUAGAUAAAGGUAAUUAAUUAGAGAUAAAUGGAGCUAAUCAGGCUCAGUUAACACUAAUUCUCUGAAUUAAGACAUUUUGGGACACCUACUAUCCUGCUGACUUUGAUAUUUUGCAUUAAGAAUAGGUUCUAGAGGAGUCAGAAAAUACUGGCAUUUGAGAACUGAGCAGUCUUUUGAU